This is a long non-coding RNA of Ficedula albicollis (Collared flycatcher), 920 nucleotides long. RefSeq lists it as uncharacterized. NCBI's taxonomy places the organism in Eukaryota, Metazoa, Chordata, Aves, Passeriformes, Muscicapidae. The record is from RefSeq and is a predicted model, not a curated record. The transcript is spliced from 3 exons.
ACAAACUUCUCAGGCUUCUCUGAACAGAUAAAAAUAAACACAAAAAAUAUUGAACCAAAUGGAAGAAGCUUUAAACAGAAGUGAGUAAAUUUAGAGUGCCUGGCAAAGGCCCAGUGCUCAGCCACCUAUUUAUAUAACAAAGCCACUUUGUCCUUGUACAUAUUGUUUGCUUUUUAACAGUGGUAUCGCUAAUGGACCUGCAGGGCACACGGAGUCCUGGGCAUGCCAUAUGCACACACCAGCUCCCAGAGCCAGCGUGCCUUUGAUGGUGGGCAGGAAGUGUAACAAUCACCCAGAAUCACAGAAUAUCCUGACCGGGAAGGGACCGAGGAUCAUCGAGUUAAAUUCCUGCACAGGACACCCCAACAAUCCUCAGAGCCUUGUCCGAAUGAUGACCUCACCUACUUUUAAGAAUUUGUGCCAUGUGAGGACAAGCAAACCCCUAAACACACUGUGUACCUCGGCAGCAGCACCCUGCUACAUUACAGGAGGAAUGUAUCAGUUGCUGUAUAAAAGCUAUAGUGUGCCAAUUGGAGUUAUUUUACACGAGUGAAGUAUGGCCACGACCUCACAGGAGAUAGAAAAAAGAAAAAAAAAAAACAAACCGGCUGAGGUAGGAGGGGAGCCGAGUGUUGCAACAAAGCACUAGACCAAACUAGAAAGUGAAGAAAGUUCCCAGAAAGGCAAAAGGCCGCCCCGUACGCCGAGGGGCAACACGAGACCACAAAGCUCCCUCAGACCCUCAGCUUAACCUCCCUGCCCCGCCCGCUGCCCUCACACGGCCCCGCCCAGCCUCGCGCGCAACCGCACCCGGAUCACGUGCCCCAGAUUCCAAGUCUAUUGGGCGAGAGGAGGAGGGCGGGGCUAACCCCUCUAUAAAGCAGUGCGCGGCGAGGUCUGGGCCUCUCUUCCGGCGUGGG